This 295-nucleotide unclassified non-coding RNA is filed under the name Hevea brasiliensis (rubber tree). Lineage: Eukaryota; Viridiplantae; Streptophyta; Magnoliopsida; Malpighiales; Euphorbiaceae. The record is from RNAcentral.
ACAACAUGACCUAGAAGCAUUGCACAUUCCUGAAGAUUUAACCCAAAAUCGUUCAGUGUGGAGAAAACAAAUCCAUAUAGCUGACGCCAAAUUUUUGAGAUAAAGACUUAGUUGAGUUGAGGAUCAAAAUAUUUGAGCACUACCACUGUCAGACAGAAGGACUAGUAAUCAUAUUUAAAAUGAUAGCAUGUUUUUCUAUUUUUAUUUAAUAUGUUGUUGAGCAAAAUUCUUUCUCAUCCAAUUUUUGGCAUCCAAUUUGCAAUGUGUCCUCAGGUUUAUCGAGGAAUUCUUACUG